RNAcentral lists this ribosomal RNA (495 nucleotides) under uncultured bacterium. RNAcentral's name for it is "partial 16S ribosomal RNA". It matches the Rfam family "Bacterial small subunit ribosomal RNA", at positions 28 to 507 of the family's 1533-position model. The record is from RNAcentral.
GACGAACGCUGGCGGCGUGCCUAAUACAUGCAAGUAGAACGCUGAAGGAGGAGCUUGCUUCUCUGGAUGAGUUGCGAACGGGUGAGUAACGCGUAGGUAACCUGCCUGUUAGCGGGGGAUAACUAUUGGAAACGAUAGCUAAUACCGCAUAAUAGUAGAUGUUGCAUGACAUUUGCUUAAAAGGUGCAAUUGCAUCACUACCAGAUGGUCCUGCGUUGUAUUAGCUAGUUGGUGGGGUAACGGCUCACCAAGGCGACGAUACAUAGCCGACCUGAGAGGGUGAUCGGCCACACUGGGAAUGGGACACGGCCCAGACUCCUACGGGAGGCAGCAGUAGGGAAUCUUCGGCAAUGGACGGAAGUCUGACCGAGCAACGCCGCGUGAGUGAAGAAGGUUUUCGGAUCGUAAAGCUCUGUUGUAAGGGAAGAACGAGUGCGGGAGUGGAAAGUUCACACUGUGACGGUAUCUUACCAGAAAGGGACGGCUAACUACGUG